Long non-coding RNA from Brassica oleracea var. oleracea, 880 nucleotides. RefSeq lists it as uncharacterized. Lineage: Eukaryota; Viridiplantae; Streptophyta; Magnoliopsida; Brassicales; Brassicaceae. The transcript has 5 exons. The record is from RefSeq and is a predicted model, not a curated record.
UAAGCGCUGCAACAGACGUCCCUUACAGGACACGCGUCAUAACGCGACGUCUCUCUUUCUCUCUCGAAAUCAGUCGGUUUGAUUCCGAAACUUCUCCGUGAAAACUUGCACCACUGGAAUCGCCGCCGUCUCAGUCGCUUCACCACGUCCUCAUCAAUCGUCGCCAUCAAUCGUUCGUCUUACUCUUAUUGAAAGCGUUGCUAGAUGGCGUUUUUGCUAAACAACACCUCAAUUGCAUCUCACCUCCGAUCUUCUUCCCAGGGAUCUUUUAAGGAGGAGACAAGAUGAGAUUGGUCAAGUGUUGGUUCUGCUCUUCUACGAUAUAUCGAAGCGAGGAUUGUGGUGGCGCGGUGGUUGAUUGGUUGCUGGAGACGGUGGCUAUCCCCCGGUGAUCGAUGGGUGUGGUUAUCGAGAGCUUUGUCUGGGAGCCAACCUCAAGCGUCUUUGUCUUCUUCCUCCUCUCCACAUUUCGCUUCCGAGUCAUCUUUAAACCUUUGGAUGCGUUGAUGUCAAAUUAAGCUUACUAAUUGCUACUGACUCUGACUUUUGAUGAUGAUACAGAAGGUAGCUUCAUGGUGGAGCGUGCUGUACAGACCGCAGAAGCUUGUGUGGAAUCAAACUAACCUUUCCUUGAGGAUCCUGCAACAUCUCUGUCUCCGUUCUCUACGGCUUUCUACUUGGUGAUUGUUAGUCCCAUCUUAUAUGAUUUCUACAACUAUGGACCUGAGGACCGCCAACUCUCUCUUCUAUUGACCGAGUUCUUGCAGAGUGUUGCUUUUCUCGGGGCACUGCUAUUCUUUAUCGGAAUGAAGAACUCUACGAUGACCUCCUCCAAGCAGAACCAAAGAAGCCAAGCAUAGCUGAGGAGCCUACAACACAU